Molecule: non-coding RNA, 1247 nt
Organism: Leptonychotes weddellii (Weddell seal)
Lineage: Eukaryota; Metazoa; Chordata; Mammalia; Carnivora; Phocidae
Source: RefSeq, a predicted model, not a curated record
UAUUUGUUACAGGCCUAUUCAUUCACAUUUUCCAUUUUCCCUGGUCAGGGUGGUGGUUCGCAUCUUCCCAGGAGCUUGUCCAUCUCACCUGGGUCACCUAACUUGUCGGCACAGUUGUCCCGGUUCUCUGGCCUCACCCUUCCUGUACUGGAGAGUUCCCUUUAUGCUUCAUUGCCGUGGCUGUGGUCCUGGAAGCUUCCCCCUUGUGAUGGGUGUCCUCAGGUUUGAGAGGCGUGGCUGUCUGUGGAGAAGAUCCACGAGAUGUGCAGGGAGCAGUUUGCGUGGGCUCCUGACUCGGCAAGCGAAGACCUUGAAUUCUGAGUGCACGUCUCUGCCUCAUUGCAACUUACUUUGUGUUUUUUUCACUAUUAAAGCAAUAUUGGGGAUUUUGUGCAAUGAACUGCUUGUGCAAGCAUUUGUUGCCGUUAUACAGAAGGUCGCCGACGGCCGUGGCCCGUCCUUUGAAGCGUGUCCCCUCCACCAGCUGGUCUCUGGCUCAAGAGGCCUCUCCUCUACUUCCAGACCUGAUGAAAAUCAGAUGUUGAUUAGGCUUUGUGUCUGCUUUGGCAGUUGGUUGAGACUUUGGGAGCCAUAAAAGGGACCUCUGCAUCUCCUCCCAGGAGACGGAGACUGUCCGCGCAUCCUGGGCUGGUCUUUGGCGUCCUGGUGAGGACCCCCUGUCUACUGGAGCCUUCUUACUCCUCUUUCUCAGUUACUCCCUUGUUUUGGGGAUCUCCUCUUUGUGUCUCCUGAAGAACAUUUCCACAAGAAGUCAUGAGACAUUUUUGGUGAACUUGCAUGUCUGGAAAUACCGUUCUACUACUACCAUCACGCCUGAUGAUUUGAAUACGCGUCAACUUUUAGGCUGCAAAUUAUUUUCUCGUGUAACUGUUAGAGCUUCGUUCCACUGUCUUCUAUGUGUGACACGGCUGUGAAGAAGUCUCCUCACCCCUGUGUGGUCCGCCACGCGGGCGCUUGCUGGGCCUCCCUGCGGCCAGGGGCACCGCACAGCGUCGUGCAGGCUGUCACUGUGGGGAGCUACAGGCGCUUCCACUGCGGUGACGCGGGUCUGUCAGGCCUGGGGAGCAUCAGAUGGGGUCUCUGGCCAUCCCACUCCCACCAUGUUCUGGUUUUUCCCAGAACUCCUGCUGGUCCUAAUCUGUCUACCGCCUCACCUGCCUCUUCGCCUUUUCCUUUUUUAAAAAAAAGAUUUCCUCGGGGCACCUGGGUGGCUCAGUCGUUAAGCA